UAGGGAAUCUUCCGCAAUGGGCGAAAGCCUGACGGAGCAACGCCGCGUGAGUGAUGAAGGUCUUCGGAUCGUAAAACUCUGUUAUUAGGGAAGAACAAAUGUGUAAGUAACUAUGCACGUCUUGACGGUACCUAAUCAGAAAGCCACGGCUAACUACGUGCCAGCAGCCGCGGUAAUACGUAGGUGGCAAGCGUUAUCCGGAAUUAUUGGGCGUAAAGCGCGCGUAGGCGGUUUUUUAAGUCUGAUGUGAAAGCCCACGGCUCAACCGUGGAGGGUCAUUGGAAACUGGAAAACUUGAGUGCUGAAAAGGAACGUGGAAUUCCAUGUGUAGCGGUGAAAUGCGCAGAGAUAUGGAGGAACACCAGUGGCGAAGGCGACUUUCUGGUCUGUAACUGACGCUGAUGUGCGAAAGCGUGGGGAUCAAACAGG
Molecule: ribosomal RNA, 429 nt
Filed under: Actinomycetes bacterium
Lineage: Bacteria; Bacillati; Actinomycetota; Actinomycetes
Description: Actinobacteria bacterium partial 16S ribosomal RNA
Rfam family: Bacterial small subunit ribosomal RNA
Source: RNAcentral